UAAGGAAUAUUGCUCAAUGGGAGAAAUCCUGAAGGAGCAACGCCGCGUGGAGGAUGAAGGGUCUAUGACUUGUAAACUCCUGUAAAGAAGGAAAAAAUUCCCAUUAGAUGGGAGAUGAUGGUACUUCUGGAGUAAGCCCCGGCUAACUACGUGCCAGCAGCCGCGGUAAUACGUAGGGGGCAAGCGUUGUCCGGAUUUACUGGGUGUAAAGGGUGCUCAGGCGGAUUUGUAAGUCAGAGGUGAAAUCUUACAGCUUAACUGUGAAACUGCCUUUGAUACUGCAAGCCUAGAGUAUGGAAGAGAGUGAUGGAAUAUCUGGUGUAGCAGUGAAAUGCGUAGAUAUCAGAUAGAACACCAAUGACGAAGGCAGUCACUUGGUCCAUUACUGACGCUAAAGCACGAAAGCGUGGGUAGCAAACA
RNAcentral lists this ribosomal RNA (420 nucleotides) under uncultured bacterium. RNAcentral's name for it is "bacterial SSU rRNA". It matches the Rfam family "Bacterial small subunit ribosomal RNA", at positions 355 to 774 of the family's 1533-position model. The record is from RNAcentral.